CAGCCCGAGCUGCCCGCCCGGGGGCGACUGCGCCGGCCGCCGCCCAGCAAGCCGCCUUUGAUCUCUUCCCUGCCCAUGAAGAUGUACUUGAGUCCUCCAUUCCACUUUGAAUAGCCAGCUCCUGUCCACAUGGAACAGCAUGACAUCUUUUAUCUUUUGCUACCUGCAGCACCUAGCAGAGGCCAGCAUUCAAUAACAGAGGAGCAAGAGGCUUGCUUUAAAGGCCUCUGCAAACUUGUAUGAGUAAAACGGUUCUGACCAUGUUCCCAGGUUCCUCACGCAUAGUGGUGAUGAGAUAGUCUACCAUCCUAACUGGGGCACCGUUGAGAGUGAACGGAGGCACUGUUAAUAAUUAGACGAAGUGCACGCUCACAGUACCCAUGACCUGCUGUGCAGCUCCUUCACUUCAAGAGCUACUGUAAGGCCCGGCUCCCCAACCAGAACCCCUGUUGUCUUCCUCAAUGAAGAAGGCCUCUGAAGACAAGUGACUUAAGAACAUAGUUUAUAUGUAUUGAAUACUGUUGUGCCUUUUCACAGAG
RNAcentral lists this small RNA (539 nucleotides) under Pongo abelii (Sumatran orangutan). RNAcentral describes it as "processed transcript". Lineage: Eukaryota; Metazoa; Chordata; Mammalia; Primates; Hominidae. The record is from RNAcentral.